AUGCUGGAGGUAUCAGAAGUGCGAAUGCUGACAUAAGUAACGAUAAAGCGGGUGAAAAGCCCGCUCGCCGGAAGACCAAGGGUUCCUGUCCAACGUUAAUCGGGGCAGGGUGAGUCGACCCCUAAGGCGAGGCCGAAAGGCGUAGUCGAUGGGAAACAGGUUAAUAUUCCUGUACUUGGUGUUACUGCGAAGGGGGGACGGAGAAGGCUAUGUUGGCCGGGCGACGGUUGUCCCGGUUUAAGCGUGUAGGCUGGUUUUCCAGGCAAAUCCGGAAAAUCAAGGCUGAGGCGUGAUGACGAGGCACUACGGUGCUGAAGCAACAAAUGCCCUGCUUCCAGGAAAAGCCUCUAAGCAUCAGGUAACAUCAAAUCGUACCCCAAACCGACACAGGUGGUCAGGUAGAGAAUACCAAGGCGCUUGAGAGAACUCGGGUGAAGGAACUAGGCAAAAUGGUGCCGUAACUUCGGGAGAAGGCACGCUGAUAUGUAGGUGAGGUCCCUCGCGGAUGGAGCUGAAAUCAGUCGAAGAUACCAGCUGGCUGCAACUGUUUAUUAAAAACACAGCACUGUGCAAACACGAAAGUGGACGUAUACGGUGUGACGCCUGCCCGGUGCCGGAAGGUUAAUUGAUGGGGUUAGCGCAAGCGAAGCUCUUGAUCGAAGCCCCGGUAAACGGCGGCCGUAACUAUAACGGUCCUAAGGUAGCGAAAUUCCUUGUCGGGUAAGUUCCGACCUGCACGAAUGGCGUAAUGAUGGCCAGGCUGUCUCCACCCGAGACUCAGUGAAAUUGAACUCGCUGUGAAGAUGCAGUGUACCCGCGGCAAGACGGAAAGACCCCGUGAACCUUUACUAUAGCUUGACACUGAACAUUGAGCCUUGAUGUGUAGGAUAGGUGGGAGGCUUGGAAGUGUGGACGCCAGUCUGCAUGGAGCCGACCUUGAAAUACCACCCUUUAAUGUUUGAUGUUCUAACGUUGACCCGUAAUCCGGGUUGCGGACAGUGUCUGGUGGGUAGUUUGACUGGGGCGGUCUCCUCCUAAAGAGUAACGGAGGAGCACGAAGGUUGGCUAAUCCUGGUCGGACAUCAGGAGGUUAGUGCAAUGGCAUAAGCCAGCUUGACUGCGAGCGUGACGGCGCGAGCAGGUGCGAAAGCAGGUCAUAGUGAUCCGGUGGUUCUGAAUGGAAGGGCCAUCGCUCAACGGAUAAAAGGUACUCCGGGGAUAACAGGCUGAUACCGCCCAAGAGUUCAUAUCGACGGCGGUGUUUGGCACCUCGAUGUCGGCUCAUCACAUCCUGGGGCUGAAGUAGGUCCCAAGGGUAUGGCUGUUCGCCAUUUAAAGUGGUACGCGAGCUGGGUUUAGAACGUCGUGAGACAGUUCGGUCCCUAUCUGCCGUGGGCGCUGGAGAACUGAGGGGGGCUGCUCCUAGUACGAGAGGACCGGAGUGGACGCAUCACUGGUGUUCGGGUUGUCAUGCCAAUGGCACUGCCCGGUAGCUAAAUGCGGAAGAGAUAAGUGCUGAAAGCAUCUAAGCACGAAACUUGCCCCGAGAUGAGUUCUCCCUGACUCCUUGAGAGUCCUGAAGGAACGUUGAAGACGACGACGUUGAUAGGCCGGGUGUGUAAGCGCAGCGAUGCGUUGAGCUAACCGGUACUAAUGAACCGUGAGGCUUAA
This 1671-nucleotide ribosomal RNA is filed under the name Escherichia coli. Its description in RNAcentral is "partial 23S ribosomal RNA". It matches the Rfam family "Bacterial large subunit ribosomal RNA", at positions 1270 to 2925 of the family's 2925-position model. The record is from RNAcentral. Lineage: Bacteria; Pseudomonadati; Pseudomonadota; Gammaproteobacteria; Enterobacterales; Enterobacteriaceae.